Molecule: long non-coding RNA, 1528 nt
Filed under: Heterocephalus glaber (naked mole-rat)
Lineage: Eukaryota; Metazoa; Chordata; Mammalia; Rodentia; Bathyergidae
Description: lncRNA (ENSHGLG00100042466.1)
Source: RNAcentral
CGCUGCCGCCGUCCCUGAGCAGAUCCCAUCCGCUUCUCAACAACCUGCAGCCGGGUGCAGUUUCCACAAUCCAGCCAUGGAGCAGGGGCAAAGGAUUCCUCGCCACCCGAGGCGAAGACCAGCGCGGAGUGCAAAGCGGGCGGAAGGAGGGUGGAGACCCCAGUCCAGCCAACAAAAACAAAAAGUCUCUUCCCUUUCUUCUGCUACACAGCCAUGGGGACGGGUCGGGGAAAAAAAAACAACCCAAAUGCUUGUCUUCCUUUACGUUUCUUCGCUUCCCACACCCCAGCGGGGGCAAAAGCUGAGCACAGAGAAAAGAGGGUUCAAAUGUCUCUCCAAGUCCACAGUUGCACAACUUCGGAGUCGGGCUCGGGCUCCGCAGCAGCCCUGGGACCAGCGCGGCUAUUAACCUGCGGCAGUCACAGCCGGGCCGCUCCGCCACCGCCGCUCGGGAACAGACGCUGCCGAGACGGAAAAUCUGCCACCAUCCCCCGCCGAUCUUUAUACCAGUUCUCCCACCCCACCCCCUUCUUUCCUCCUCUUCCUCUUUUUCCUCUUCUUCCUCGUCCCUCCCCUUGCCUCAGCGCGGGAGGGAUGGAUGGCGGGGGAGCCGCGAGGCCCGGGUGGCGUCUCCCCUGCGCCUCCUCCCCGCGCUCCUCCCGCUCCUCCCCCGAGCGGGGUUUCGCCCGGGUCCGGAUCCGCUCUCCGCCCGCAACCUGUGCCGGGAGCCGGCCGAGCGCCGCGCCAACUCCUCCCGGGGCGCGGCGGGGCGCGGGGCCGCCGAGGACUGUGAGCCGAGGGCUGCGGGGCCCGAGCCCAGGAGCGGGCGACUUAGCUCGCCGGCCGGGCCGGGCGGCUGCGGGCACGCGGGGCUCCAUCGCGCGGCCCGAGCUCCGCGCCGCCUGCUCCCCCGGCUUCCUCUCCUGCGACUCCGCGGAGCUCGAGGGGCCGCGCGGUGCAGAUGCGCACACACGCGCGCACACGCGCACACACGCGCGAGCUUGCCACGCGCGGCCGGCCGUGCACCCCGCGCCCGCAGCGGAGCCGAGAAGAAAGGAAGGGGAGGGGGCGAGAGACUCACAACUAAGAGUUUGCCUUGAAUCUCAGAGGAGACUUUGGACUUGGACUUUUCAGCAAUGCUACAACUGUUUAUAAUUGGAGGAAGUCUUUAUGUCUAGCCCUAUACUAAGAAGAGAUUAUACAAGGCCUUGAAUACCAGCAGAUGAUAUCAUUUGUGUCAUUUGAAGACCGCCUACCACAGAUGUUCUGAAGGAUGUUUAUGAAGAUACAUUUAUUAUAGCUUGCUCAUCCGUCUUUGAUUCAUAAACACACAAAUAUUUAACAUAGAUAUUUCUAAACACAUGCAUAUUCUUCCUGUCUUGGUGGUUUCUGUGGUAGUUAUGAAUAUCUCAAUCCUAUGUCAAGAUACCAAAUUACAGAAUUCAAGGAAUCAUCUACAGCAUUUAUCCACUGCCACUUUUAUUUUGCAGAUACAAAUUUUGAUAUAGGACAAAGGUAAAUGACUUCA